CCAAAUUCCUCCUUCUUAUGGUUCGAGGAGCUCAGAUAUGGUUGUAAGAAAGCUCAUGUUCAGUAUAGUACUUUAAUAACCUUUGGAGUAGAUGAACAGAGGCCUCUGAGAAAGGUAGAAUAGAAGAGCCCUUCAGACAUCCAGGGAAUUCAGGGCCUUUUAAAGAGCCAUGCUUGGAGAGCUGAAGAAGGUGCGUAUGCUGAACCAUCGUCCUCCAGGAGGCCAUAAGUCCUAGGAGGCGU
Molecule: long non-coding RNA, 242 nt
Organism: Hemicordylus capensis (graceful crag lizard)
Lineage: Eukaryota; Metazoa; Chordata; Lepidosauria; Squamata; Cordylidae
Exons: 3
Source: RefSeq, a predicted model, not a curated record